RNAcentral lists this long non-coding RNA (298 nucleotides) under Sorghum bicolor (sorghum). RNAcentral's name for it is "long non-coding RNA (SBIC_LNC008050)". The record is from RNAcentral. Lineage: Eukaryota; Viridiplantae; Streptophyta; Magnoliopsida; Poales; Poaceae.
ACAUCACAUAUGCAUUUAUUUCUAACCUAGUUCCACAUGUGUUUGGAAGAUUGUAUUUUUUACAGGACAUGUGCAUAAAUACAUGAGGAUACCACAAAAAGGCACUUAUCAAAUAACCAAGACAUCAAGUGAAGUUUCUCAAGAGCAAUUCCCCCUAACACAGUCCUCAUGAGAAGAGGCCCAAGGUCCAACACAUGAAGCUGGAUGCUGAGGGGCGCCACCCAGGGACCGGCCGGUCCCUCGGGCUGGCUGGCCCUUGGCUGAGCCCUCUCAGCACCGCCUUUGUUUUGUGGCUGCA